CCUACGGGAGGCAGCAGUGAGGAAUAUUGGUCAAUGUGCGCGAGCCUGAACCAGCCAAGUAGCGUGAAGGAUGAAUGCCCUACGGGUUGUAAACUUCUUUGAUAAAGGAAAAAAGUGAGGCACGUGUGCCUUUUUGUAUGUACCAUAUGAAUAAGCAUCGGCUAACUCCGUGCCAGCAGCCGCGGUAAUACGGAGGUAGCGAUCGUUCUCCGGAUUGAUUGGGGUUAAAGGGUGCGUAGGGGGGUCAUUAAGUCAGCGGCUAAAGUUGGUGGCUAAACCAUAAAAUUGCCGUUGAAACUGGUUGCCUUGCUUAUAUUUGAGGUAGGCCGCAUGC
RNAcentral lists this ribosomal RNA (334 nucleotides) under uncultured bacterium. RNAcentral describes it as "partial 16S ribosomal RNA". It matches the Rfam family "Bacterial small subunit ribosomal RNA", at positions 338 to 669 of the family's 1533-position model. The record is from RNAcentral.